AUGGAGGCGAUGAUCCUUUCCCCAGCUGAUCAACUAAGAUUAUAAAUGCGCGUUUUGUUUAGAUCUCCUUUUUCAACAUAGGAGGUUUUCUAAGCCAGUACUCUGAUCCAU
Small nucleolar RNA from Papaver somniferum (opium poppy), 111 nucleotides. RefSeq annotates it as small nucleolar RNA Z103. The record is from RefSeq and is a predicted model, not a curated record. The transcript has a single exon. NCBI's taxonomy places the organism in Eukaryota, Viridiplantae, Streptophyta, Magnoliopsida, Ranunculales, Papaveraceae.